CAUCGCGGUGGCGGAGCGUCGUUUGCGACGCCCAACACACAAAACAAGCGGUGAGUGCUUUGGGGUGGGGUGACUGCGUACCUUUUGUAUAAUGGGUCAGCGACUUAUAUUCUGUAGCAAGGUUAACCGUAUAGGGGAGCCGAAGGGAAACCGAGUCUUAACUGGGCGUUAAGUUGCAGGGUAUAGACCCGAAACCCGGUGAUCUAGCCAUGGGCAGGUUGAAGGUUGGGUAACACUAACUGGAGGACCGAACCGACUAAUGUUGAAAAAUUAGCGGAUGACUUGUGGCUGGGGGUGAAAGGCCAAUCAAACCGGGAGAUAGCUGGUUCUCCCCGAAAGCUAUUUAGGUAGCGCCUCGUGAACUCAUCUUCGGGGGUAGAGCACUGUUUCGGCUAGGGGGUCAUCCCGACUUACCAACCCGAUGCAAACUGCGAAUACCGAAGAAUGUUAUCACGGGAGACACACGGCGGGUGCUAACGUCCGUCGUGAAGAGGGAAACAACCCAGACCGCCAGCUAAGGUCCCAAAGUCACAGUUAAGUGGGAAACGAUGUGGGAAGGCUCAGACAGCCAGGAUGUUGGCUUAGAAGCAGCCAUCAUUUAAAGAAAGCGUAAUAGCUCACUGGUCGAGUCGGCCUGCGCGGAAGAUGUAACGGGGCUAAACUGUGCACCGAAGCUGCGGCAGCGACGCUUAUGCGUUGUUGGGUAGGGGAGCGUUCUGUAAGCCUGCGAAGGUGUCCUGUGAGGGAUGCUGGAGGUAUCAGAAGUGCGAAUGCUGACAUAAGUAACGAUAAUGCGGGUGAAAAGCCCGCUCGCCGGAAGACCAAGGGUUCCUGUCCAACGUUAAUCGGGGCAGGGUGAGUCGACCCCUAAGGCGAGGCCGAAAGGCGUAGUCGAUGGGAAACGGGUUAAUAUUCCCGUACUUGGUGUUACUGCGAAGGGGGGACGGAGAAGGCUAUGUUGGCCGGGCGACGGUUGUCCCGGUUUAAGCGUGUAGGCUGGUUUUCCAGGCAAAUCCGGAAAAUCAAG
Molecule: ribosomal RNA, 1027 nt
Filed under: Salmonella enterica subsp. enterica serovar Kentucky
Lineage: Bacteria; Pseudomonadati; Pseudomonadota; Gammaproteobacteria; Enterobacterales; Enterobacteriaceae
Description: partial 23S ribosomal RNA
Rfam family: Bacterial large subunit ribosomal RNA
Source: RNAcentral